This 119-nucleotide ribosomal RNA is filed under the name Salmo salar (Atlantic salmon). Lineage: Eukaryota; Metazoa; Chordata; Actinopteri; Salmoniformes; Salmonidae. The record is from RNAcentral.
GCUCACGGCCAUAUCAGCCUGGGUACGCCCGAUCUCGUCUGAUCUCGGAAGCUAAGCAGGGUCGGGCCUGGUUAGUACUUGGAUGGUAGACCGCCUGGGAAUACCAGGUGCUGUAAGCA